RNAcentral lists this ribosomal RNA (497 nucleotides) under uncultured bacterium. Its description in RNAcentral is "partial 16S ribosomal RNA". It matches the Rfam family "Bacterial small subunit ribosomal RNA", at positions 28 to 507 of the family's 1533-position model. The record is from RNAcentral.
GAUGAACGCUGGCGGCGUGCCUAAUACAUGCAAGUCGAGCAAACGGACGAGAAGCUUGCUUCUCUGAUGUUAGCGGCGGACGGGUGAGUAACACGUGGAUAACCUACCUAUAAGACUGGGAUAACUUCGGGAAACCGUAGCUAAUACCGGAUAAUAUUUUGAACCGCAUGGUUCAAAAGUGAAAGACGGUCUUGCUGUCACUUAUAGAUGGAUCCGCGCUGCAUUAGCUAGUUGGUAAGGUAACGGCUUACCAAGGGAACGAUGCAUAGCCGACCUGAGAGGGUGAUCGGCCACCCUGGAACUGAGACACGGUCCAGACUCCUACGGGUGGCAGCAGUAGGGAAUCUUCCGCAAUGGGCGAAAGCCUGACGGAGCAACGCCGCGUGAGUGAUGAAGGUCUUCGGAUCGUAAAACUCUGUUAUUAGGGAAGAACAUAUGUGUAAGUAACUGUGCACAUCUUGACGGUAACUAAUCAGAAAGCCACGGCUAACUACGUG